AUUGAACGCUGGCGGCAGGCCUAACACAUGCAAGUCGAGCGCGCGGCGCACGGGUGUGUAAUGUGUCGGGACUGCCCGAUAUAGGGGGAUAACUACUGGAAACGGUAUCUAAUACCGCAUACCCUCUGAUAACCCACAGGGGAUUAGCUAGUAGGUGAGGUAAUGGCUCACCUAGGCGACGAUCCCUAGCUGGUCUGAGAGGAUGAUCCGCCACACUGGGACUGAGACACGGCCCAGACUCCUACGGAGGCAGCAGUGGGGAAUAUUGCACAAUGGGCGCAAGCCUGAUGCAGCCAUGCCGCGUGUAUGAAGAAGGCCCUAGGGUUGUAAAGUACUUUCAGUCGGGAGGCGUUACCGGCAGAAGAAGCACCGGCUAACUCCGGGCCAGCAGCCGCGGUAAUAC
RNAcentral lists this ribosomal RNA (403 nucleotides) under uncultured bacterium. RNAcentral describes it as "partial 16S ribosomal RNA". It matches the Rfam family "Bacterial small subunit ribosomal RNA", at positions 30 to 526 of the family's 1533-position model. The record is from RNAcentral.